UGUGUCUUUUUUCUUCCAUAUUUAAAGUUGCAUCAUUUGGAACUCUGGUGUUGAACUGUGCAGAAAAGCUCCAGCUGCCCUUAUUGCCUCAAGCUUACUAGCUAGCACCUGAAACCAGGGCAGUGUUGAUAUCGCUACAUCAUCAUGUUUUUUAGGCGUUACAACCCCUAGCUAGUGUAGUUCAGUGUUCUCAUUCUUUAUCUCUCUUGUAAUCUUAUCCCAGCUAGUGAUUUGUUAGUUUGUCUUGAUUUACUUUCUAGUCCUCUAAUUUUUCAUGAUUUCACCAGCUACUCCUUUUACUUCCAUUUACCUCACUUUGUCUUUUUACAAGUAUUUCCAUGUCUUUUUAAGUGUGGUUUAACAUUUAUUUCUCCUUGGAAGCAAAUUUAACUUGUUUUGUUUUAUACAGACACAUUUGAUGGUUGAAUAUAUCAAGAGUCUUCAAGAGAAGGUAAAUCUCGGCUGCUACUCUCACAAAUGUGUUUGGUAUAUGACGGAAAACAUUUCUUGGAAAAUGUCUGCGAAAAAUCACUUUUUUCUGAAAGAUAUUUUGUGGAAAACGAUUUCAGUGUUUGGUUGGAAAAUGGAAGAAUGGAAAUAUUUAUCUCCAAAAACAUUAACUAAAUCUUUAUAAUGACGUUAGCUAACAUGACAAUGUUUUGAUAAUCAAGAGUUGGAUAGUUGUGCAUGAAGUUAAAGAGUUGUGAUAGUUGUGAAGAAAAGGACUUUGGGCUGAAAGUCAGGAAAGUCAUUGUUCCGCGUUCGGUGAAAAAUAUUUUCCUUCAGAAAAAUAUUUUCUAAUAGAACACCAGAAAAUGACUUAUUCUCCGAAAAAAUCCUUCAGUUCGUCCACCGCACUUCAGCACUUCAUGUGAACUCAAGAGUUUGGUCUGUCAUUUGCACUUUCAUUUCCUGUGAAGUUACUCUAUCAUAGCCAUGUUAUCCCUUUGUCUUUGGCUCCCCGGAUAUCGACUCAUAGUAUGCUAUAUUUGCAUGGAUUAGUUUCGUGUGACCACCUAGAACUUGCAUGCCAUCUUAAUUCAAAUUCUUAAGCAUAGAUGAUUUCAACCAAUACUGAUCCAUGAUCAGCAGGACUAAAAUGUGCCAGGGUUUUUUACUACCAAACUCACAAUCUAGGCUUCUCAUCUUCCUGAAACAAGUGCCCCUUGGAACCACAGCAUUGUGACGGAGGAGAGAACAACUUGUGAUCUUGAAUACCUGAGCCUAAGAUCAUAUUUUAUCUACCACUGCAUAAGAUAAAGUGUAAAUUAUUUUUGAACGACUGAUAGAAUAGUUUUUGUUCCUUUAAGUCCUUCUUGUGAAGGGAAGCCUUGGCGUAACUGGUAAAGUUGCUGCCAUGUGACCAGGAAGUCACGGAUUCGAGCCGUUAAAACAGCACCGUGCAGAAACGCAGGGUAAGGCGGCGUACAAUAGACCCUUGUGGUCUGGCCCUUCCCCGGACCCCGCAGCGGGAGCUUAGUGCACCGAGCUGCCCUUUUUUUUAAGUCGUGUUACUUGUCCACAGCUCUACCUACUUCUGUUAAAAUUCUGGAGCUACUAUAUAAGUCAAAUGAGUUCUCCUGGAAUUUCUACUCUGUGACCAGAAUACAUUAUUAUUUGAGGGAGAAUUAAUAUGAUGUUAAGUUGCCAUUACACUACGCGUGACAGAAGAUAUGACCUUAGACUCUUCUCUGCAGGAAAAACUGCUGAGGGAAGAAAACAAACUUCUGGAAGACAGGGUAAAUCUUAAAUGAUAGAUCUUCUCUUUUGCUAGCACAAAUUAGGUGUUGGCUGUAUAGAUAUAUGUUCCAUGGUUUUCUAAAUGACGAAAUAAAUGUGCAUAUGCACCUACAGAUAGCUAUGAUCAAGAAAAACAGAGAAGUGAAUGGGAUGGCUUCGGAUUUCACUAACCGAGCACCAGUCCGCAUGAUUUGUGGACAGCAGAGAGCGACGCUGAAUUUCCUCUAGUUAUCAUUGUAUAUGUCAAGUAUUCUUGUAGUCUCUACUGGAACAAUUUGCCAAAUCUAUCUGCUGCUUCUAACUUGGCACCUCUACUUUGUAAUUCCCAUUUGUAUGAAGGAUCAUGCUGUACCUGAAACGCUGCAUAUUAGGAAUGUCCAAAAUUAAUAUUAGUAAAAGAUAUUGGUGUAAUAAUUAUAAAGAAAUAUUUAAUUGUUCAUCUGUAAGACCAACUAUAAUGAGCUCUUUUUUCCAUUUCAAAUGUGUAGGGAUUCAGUAAUGUCUUACUCAUGUCUUUUAAUUUCAUUUGUUGGUGAUUUUUGUUUAUUUAUGUACCUAUGUAUCCUCUCCUAAACAUUUUUAUUCUGAAUGCUACAGUCCAUUCUGGGGAAAAUAGGAAAAGCUUAUGUCUUUGAUAUUUCAUUCUAAGAAAUACGUACUGUUUAUUCUUUGGGAAAGUUGCUCAAUCAUUCCUGCCGUUGCAGUAUUCAUUCUCAGUGUAGAAGCUAAGGAAUGAGGAUCUUGUUAUUGGAGCAGUAGCACAUUUAAAAGGUUAGGCUAAAGGAACGAUUUUUUGACUAAAUCUAUGGGAGUAGGUCUAUUUUUAUCCUUUAAAUAUAACUCUGAGCAUUUUUAGUCCCUUAACUUUCUUAAAGUGGUUCUUUAUUUUGGUUUUGCUUUUGCCUUUGCUAUAUUAAGUAAGUGGAGAUGACAGAACCUAUGAAGUUUUUCUCUUUAAGUUAGUAGGGGUCGACUUAAUUAAUCCCCUCAUAUGUAAUUCUUAAUUUCUUUUUUCAAUUUAUCUUCUUUGAAAUUAAUUUUCUCUUUUGUAUGUUUGUCUUCUCUGGUAAUAGUUAUUCUCGAACUACUUGGCUUUGUUGUGGAACUGUCGAAGUUAGGUUACGUGAAUGCACUGAAAUUAAAGGAAUAACAGUACAACUCUUGGAAUCAGUUUUUUUAUAAAACUGAAAACCGGCAUAAUGUAAUGUAAAGUUUGUACAUAAUGUAGCAACUUAAUAAUUUUAGAUUAUGUUUAUUUUUUAUUAUGCCUUAUUAAUAAUAUUUAUUUUAUGCGAUUUUAUUAUCUUUAUUGUUGAAUAUUUUAGUACAAUGCCAUGGCUCAUGUUAUAUUUUAUGUUAUUUUCUUGAAAAAUAUCUUAUAUAGUUAUGUUUUACUAGGAUUAAGAAAAUAUUUGGAGCACAAAUUCUAUGAUUUGUGCUAUGAAAACUUUAUGAAAAAAAUUCGAAAAUACCCUAAAACCCAAAAUCCGACUUUAUUGGUUUGAUUUGGUUUUUAGAUUUAAUAACCCGACACAAUUGAUUUGGUUUGGUAAUUAAAAAAUCCGAACCAACCCGACCUAUGUACACACCUAACACAAACUAAGAAGGACCACAUGGCGGGCGUAUUUUCUUAGGUUUCUUCCUAUAUGCUUUAUUUUUGUUAUCCUGGUUUAUAUGCUCCGGAAAUUUUUAUGUCUGAUCCGUCAUCUAACCUACUUAAAUAAUCUAAAAGCUUGGCCCUGUGGCCCCAGCUGCAUGCUCAAACACCGUUACUUGUAUAAAAUAAAAAAACUAGUAGGUCAUAAAAAUAGUUAACCCGUGACUUUAAAAUCUUGGAUUCGGCGUUGGAUUAAAGAAUAGUACUCCUACUAUACUAUGGUUUAACAAGAUUUAUAGAGAUCCUUGGCAAAUACCCGGGCAGGGAAACUAUUUACCCGCCCCUACCCAUGUGGUUUGACCCCUACCCAUUUUUUUUUAAUACCGGUCAAAGCCAAUCAAAUGAAGUCAAACUAAGCUACUAAAUCAAGCCAAGCAUAGCCAAUUCAUGCCAAGCCGAGCAAAUCAAGUCAAGUCAAUUCAAACCAAGUCAAGUCAAAUCAAGCUAAGCCAAGCCAAAUGGUUAAUGGGUAUAGGGGGUAAUAAGUUUAAAUUGGAUAGGUAUAUAUUGUAAAUAGUUUUCAAAUGGGUAGGGUAAUUAUUUUAAGCUCAAUGGAUAUUUUGCAUAAAUUGCUCAAGAUUUAUAGCCUGUUUGACCGACCAUUUUUGUGCCAAUGGUUUUUUUUUUUUUUGGCCAAAAGAGCUUUUAUCCAAAUUAAGGUAUUUGGCUAAGCUAAUUUUAAAAGGACGAAAACGCAUUUGAGUAGAAACAAAAGUAGUUUAUGAGAAAUUGAAAAAAAAAAUUCUUCAUAAUUUAAAAAAAAAGUAUUUUUGAGAAAAAUAUACUUAGAAACACUUUUUAAAGUUUGGUCAAAUAUUAAUUACUGUUCAAAAGUGAUUUUUAAAUUAAUUAAUCAAAAAUAAACUACUUAUCAAAAGUACUUUCUUAAAAAUAAUUUUUUUUUUAAAAAAUAAACUGAAUUUAAAAACUUGACCAAUCAAGCAAUUAGUGCGGUUAAACAAGCAACAAACAUCAUUGAUGUUAAGACCGACUUGGAGGCCCUAGAAAAGACAAGAUUCAAGAUUAUUCACGCCUCCUGUUUGAUAAUGACAAAACAUUUUCUGAAAUUUAUUUGUAAAAAAUGAAUUAUAAUUUUAAAAGAAAAAGGAUUUCUGAUUUUUGUUGAAGAAUGGAAAUAUCUUUCGGGAAAACAUUUUUUGAUAACUGCUAAUAAAAAUAACAAAAAGAAGUAUUAAAUUGGUAUUCCUUAACAGUUAACACUAUAUUCUUUAUAAUUUGUUUCAGAAAAAAAAAACAUAUUUUUAUAUUAGAAAGUAGUUUAACUUUAAAAAAAAAAUUAUUUUACCGUUACUGACAUUAUUUUAUCGUUAUAAAUAAUAUAUUUAAUAUCAUAAAUUUUACAAAUAUUUCUUUCUUUAUUAAACUCAGUGCCUAAUAAAGUAUUAAUGCCUAAAGUAAAGUUAAAAAUUGUUGCGAAGGCAAAUGAAUUAUAUUCAAAAGUGAAAAGAAGUCAUUAUUUGCAUUUUAAUUUGGUGAACUUUCUAUCUAAGUUUUUUCUUUUCUUUUUGGUGUGUGUGGACGGUAGAAUGUAGGAAUAUAUUUACACCGAAAAAUGACAAAAUAUCCAAGAAAUAUUUUCAGGAAAUAUGAAGUAACAAUAUGAAAUAAACGAGAGGCUUCACAGUUUGCAUGAGCAGGGGCGGCCGGGGCCAUGCCCUUGCUUUAGCUUAAGGAAGAAAUCCAGGCUUUAGAGCUCAACUUAGGGAUCGGGCCUAUCAUUAUUGAUGAUUUGCAUGCGGGAGGAUCAUCGAAGGUUGGAGAAAGAGAUAGAAAGCUGACUAGAGUAGGGGUAGAGGUCAGGGGCUGUGUAUAUUAAGCAGUGACCUUAAUAACCGAGAGUCUUCUAAAACUCUCUGCCACAAACUAAAGAAUUGAAUUACCUUGCGCCGGUAUCAUUUCGCUUGAGCCGGGAACUUCUGUUUGCCUUGAGAUAGGUAUUCCUUCUUAUAGAUAUCACCGAAAAAGCGGAAGACUAAGAAGACUUUGUCUCGCCCACGCCUAGGAAAAGAAAAGAUCAGAUUAGCAACGACUUUCGAAUAAAGGAUUUUCUUGCUUUUCAUUAUUCUCUCGGAGUUGAGUUAUAGUUAGCAGAUGGGAUCUAAUUCAUUAGAGGAAGGGACGGUAAUUAACUGAUAGAACCUCUUCUCUUCUUUCAAAUCGCAGCUCUCAAGUGAGAAGAAAAGGCACCCCACGGAGCGGUGGGAAAGCAAGAGCGUAGCAGGAAGAAGAAGUAUGAAAGCAGCAAAUCUUUCCUCCUCACCGAACUCAGUAGUUUUGAUCCAAAUCACAUAUUUAUCUUUAAAAAAUUAUUGAAUAUGUAUAAAUUAUUAAUUUAGAAUCUAGUAACUUAAAAGAUCUCGAACCCACAAAAUUCAAAUCCUCUCUCCGCCUCUGUGCAUGAGGUGGAGGGGAAAUGCCAAGCUAAAGCGUUUUGAGUUUGAAACAACAGAAAACGAUUCUCAGAAAGGAAAUGCCAUUACUAUCGACUAAUCCAACUUACAAAUUCUGGGAAGGAAUGCAGGUGCUCCGUUGAGAUUGUGGAUAUCCUCUUGAGGAGAUAAUCUGAAGUAUAUACUCUCUCUCUCUUCAGUGGGUUUUCUUUUGGUACUGCUUUAGGGUAAACAUGAUAAAUUCCAUGCAAGUCGGUCGAGAUAUAUACUAUAUAUGUAGAGUAUCACAUACUGCUAGUAAGUAGAAGUAAGAAUAUAUAAUUGGCUAAUACGUACAAUUUGUUUCUAAUUUCAGUCACACAGGUAAACUUUACCAGCAAUUAAUACAAAGUAGAGUAAAUUAUUGCCACAUUAAGAAAUAUAACCAGAUGAUUAUAAGAGUUUAUAUACACGGUGUGCGCUACUAGUCACUUACGUAGUAUAA
This 6292-nucleotide long non-coding RNA is filed under the name Nicotiana tabacum (common tobacco). Its description in RNAcentral is "long non-coding RNA (NTAB_LNC002488)". The record is from RNAcentral. Lineage: Eukaryota; Viridiplantae; Streptophyta; Magnoliopsida; Solanales; Solanaceae.